RNAcentral lists this long non-coding RNA (1053 nucleotides) under Bos taurus (domestic cattle). RNAcentral's name for it is "long non-coding RNA NONBTAT022628". The record is from RNAcentral. Lineage: Eukaryota; Metazoa; Chordata; Mammalia; Artiodactyla; Bovidae.
CAGUGCACACCCCUAAAUGGUAUUGAAGAGCAUCAAGGGUACAUGCAGAAGCUAAGUCUGCUUCUUUGGUAGUUCCUUUGAAUUCGUCUAGUAUCAUAUGGCAUUUCUAUGACACUUUUAUUUUUUAUCUGAGCAACGUAAGUACACCUUUGCCCUUACGUGGCAAAGUAGGUUUCUGUAGAGUGUAAGGAAAAUGCAUUUCUGGUUCUAAUAUCACUAUGAAGAACUUUCAGUGAAGAGGAAGAGGCAGUGGUCUAUAUACAGACUAAAAACGUAUUGUUCAUAAAGUUCAAAGACAGAUGGAAUUUUAUUGCACUUGAAGAUACAAACUAGAUUGAGGUUAAUGAUUUUCUCUGAUUUUGCUAACUAGCAAAUUGAGAAUAAUUUGCUUAAGGAGUGUUGUUUUCUCACAAAAGGACAAAAUUGAAAACCUCUAUGCCUUUCAAUUAAGAAUAUAAAAGGUUAAAAUAAAGCCAUUUCUUUAAGUUUAAUAGUGUUUUAUAUUGAGAAACAGUUCCUGUUUAAUUUUCUGGACAUAAUGUCAGUCAAGAUCUAUUUUCUGUGAAUAAGCCAGUUUAAGUCUUUAUCCACAAUCCAUUUGUGUUGCAUAAGGUUGCAAAAACAAUUAAGUGGGAAAUGACUCCUAACUUAUGUGUCUACUCUGCCUGGAAAGAAAGUUUUGAAGGCAUCUAUAUAUAUUUCAUAACAAUGUCUGUUCUUUAUGGAUUUGAUCCAUAAAUAUUUAUCUAUCUGAAAACUUUGAUACUUGGAAUGUUUUCCUUAAAGCAUUUGGUGCUCCAAGAAGAAACAUUUGGUGCUAAGAGUUACAGCACUGAUGUCUUUCCCCAAGUUAAUUCUAUUUUAAAUUUUUAAAUUUCCUUCCCAAUGAGAUGCAGAGUAAAAUUUGAGACCCUCCAUUAAGUGGGGAGCAGCAUCUGUCAUCUAUGGAUAAUUACUAUUUUGGCAAAAAUAUAUAAGGUUUGAACGUUCUACAUUUUAAAUUGUUAGAAAGGAAAUGACUUGCUUAUAUUUUUCCUGAAUUAUAUUCUAACC